This 77-nucleotide small RNA is filed under the name Gonyaulax spinifera. RNAcentral's name for it is "partial Cyanobacteria transfer-messenger RNA". Lineage: Eukaryota; Dinophyceae; Gonyaulacales; Gonyaulacaceae. The record is from RNAcentral.
CGGUUCCGUCCCGCUCACCUCCACGUCCUCCAGGAGGCUGGAGUGGUUCCGGCAGGAAAGCUUGAGCAACUGAGGGC